UGAAACAUUUUCACAGAUUCACUAUGGAUCUACUCCAAAAGAAAAACAGAGCCAAGAGAGACAACCCAAAACCACAAAUGAAGUAGCAUCUCAGCAAGCAGAAAACAUUCCAGAACUAAAUGACCUGGAUGGAGCUGUUGCUUCUGGAGGGGGAGCAACCCUAUCAGACCAGAAAAGUGAAAGACCCAGAGGUAAAAUCAAGCUACCAGAAAAAUGUACAGCACUGAAUGGGAAACUCUGCCAGAGCACUGUAUGUAAAGGAAAGACAUUUGUACUAUGCAAAUGUGAAGCCAAGCCAAACAGAAAUGAUUUAGAUAAUUGUCCAGAUUGUGGGUACAAAAUAGCCAAAUAGAACUAUUAUGAUCCAAGCUACAGAAAAUGCUUUAGAAUGAGUGUGCCUAAUAAUUGUGUGCAUGUCUUAAAUUGUUGGUCAUAUUCCUUUCAGAAAAUGUUUUUUUUUUCCAUUUUUUUUUUUUUUUUUUUGUAGUAUAAUAAUCAUAAUUCCACACAUUUAUUGAAACAUUGAAUGAAAUCCUAAAAAAAAAAUAUUUUAAAACAUUUUGCUUGGGUUGGCACAUGUGUUUAGACAGUUGAAUACUUAAAAUUUAGGGAGACAUAGCCCGGUUGGGAUUAUCUUUUGGAAGCACAAUACAACUCUUCAAAUUUUCUUCCUUUUUCUUUGCUUGAGUUUACAUUCUUUACAUUAUUGUAGGUAGUUGCACCAAAAAAUUUAAAUUAAUCCUAUACCAACAAAUGUGUAAUAGAAUGAAAGAGGAUGAAAAAUGCUUUCCAACAACACCAAAUUUAUUAUGCUAGCAUUAUUGGUUCAAAAGUUAUUGUGAAUUUAAGUUUGUCCGAGGCGUCCUGACAUCCUAUGGACUUUAUAUAGAGAAAUAAAAAAAAAAGUGAAGCAAAUGUUUUUUAAUGUGAAUAUUUCAAAAACUAUUGUGAAUACAUAUACAAAAGUAUAUAUCAAAUUGUACAGUUUUAAAGGAGGAAUUUUAAUUUAUAAGUGGCAAAUCAAAAUGAAAUUAAUAUUUUAAAAUAUCAUUAGUAAAGUACGAGAAAAUACAAUUUUUUCUAAUUUUCUUAAAAUAGUCUAUAAAAAGAAAAAUGCUCCUGGUUGUCAAGUUUUCAACACAAUAAGAUUCUAAAUUGAUCUAGAUCUAUCUAGUUAUAAAACAAUAGUGUAGAUUAGAAAAAGAAUCUCUUUAGAAUAUUUAGAUUUAAGAUUUAGAUCUAUUUAAUUAUAUUUAUUUGAAAGAAUAUUUUAGAUACCGGUACCUAGAUUUACAGAUUUCAGCUUCGACAUCGACUGACCAAAAGAACUCUCAAGAAUACAGAUCUUUAUUAUAUUUUAUGUUAAUAAGCAAUGAUAUAGGUAUAAAGAAGUGAUUCAUUCAAUUUGACAUGUUUUAGUGUACACUAAUUUUAUUUUUCUUAUGUAAAAAACAGAUAUUAAUGAUAAAAGGUCAUCCCGACCUUAUUGAAAUUCUAGUACCUGAAAAAAGUGUGCUAAGUUUUAAAAUAUCGUUGAGUCGUUUAAUCAUAAUAAAUUUGGUAUCAUUGGAAAGCUGAAUGAAUUUUCUAAGUGUAUGGUUUAAAACUAAAGAUGUACAUAGACCCUUUAUUUUUUUUCCUUGUUAUUUGAAAAUUUCAAAUUUUUCAGAUUAAAAUAUUUUGGACAUAGUAAGAGAAAAAAAAAUAAUUUUCCACUAGCUAUUAGAGGAACCUGUUAUCUUUAGAAUAAACUCAAGAAAAUGUCAUAAAAACACUCAGUUAUAAAGCAAUGUCUUUUCUUAGGACAUGCUUAAUUUCAGUUUUGUAAAACCUGAACAGGAAAUUGUUUUGAUGUCAAAUGUGUUUUUAGAUCCAAUAUGGCCGCCUGUGAGAGUACCUACAUUAUUGUUACCCCUUUGAAAAUGUGUACCUAAAUGUAGGUAUGAGCAUGUCAAAAGGUUAAUCUCAUUGUAAAUUGUCAAAGGAAAUGAUGUUUGUGAAAUGUUGAUGUUUGUGAAAUGUUUUACAUGUUUGGGAUGUUAUUUCAGAGUUAAAGAUAAUCUACUUCCUAGGCCAAAACUCCAGCAGGACAAUGGAGAGUGGGCAGGGUUUGAUUCCGGGACUAUCGAUAAGUCUGAUCAACAGUCCAGCAUGCAAAACACAUGAACAGGCACCAAUACGGCAAGAACAAUGCCAAUUACAAUAUAUUAGGCAAAAUUUUUAAAAAUUAGUGAAGUCAUCAUUCCAUUUUACUUUUAAGUUAAGAAAAAAGCUAAAAAAAAAUUACUUAGAAAUAAAAACAAAUGGUUAUUUUUAAUUUUAAGUUUUUAGUUUAGUUUGAAACUGAAUCAAAUGGCACUAAUUGAAUAUACUAGCUUAUAUAAGAAAAAUAUUUUUGGAAAUGGAUACCAAAUAAAAAGAAAUUAAUUUUUAAAAAAAGGUUCACCUAAAUUGUACUUUAAUUUUUGUGUUGAGGACUUCAAUUUGUCUGAACAAAUUAAUCUUUGAAAUACUCAUACUUA
This is a long non-coding RNA of Biomphalaria glabrata, 2522 nucleotides long. RefSeq lists it as uncharacterized. The record is from RefSeq and is a predicted model, not a curated record. NCBI's taxonomy places the organism in Eukaryota, Metazoa, Mollusca, Gastropoda, Planorbidae. The transcript is spliced from 3 exons.